Molecule: ribosomal RNA, 252 nt
Filed under: uncultured bacterium
Lineage: Bacteria
Description: partial 16S ribosomal RNA
Rfam family: Bacterial small subunit ribosomal RNA
Source: RNAcentral
UACGUAGGGUGCAAGCGUUGUCCGGAAUUAUUGGGCGUAAAGGGCUCGUAGGCGGUCCAUCACGUCGGGAGUGAAAAGCUGGGGCUUAACCCCAGUCCUGCUUCCGAUACGGGUGGACUAGAGGUAGGCAGGGGAGAACGGAAUUCCUGUGUAGCGGUGAAAUGCGCAGAUAUCAGGAGGAACACCGGUGGCGAAGGCGGGUCUCUGGGCAACAACUGACGCUGAGGAGCGAAAGCGUGGGGAGCGAACAGG